Molecule: small RNA, 3975 nt
Filed under: Pan troglodytes (chimpanzee)
Lineage: Eukaryota; Metazoa; Chordata; Mammalia; Primates; Hominidae
Description: processed transcript
Source: RNAcentral
AUGAGGCUCCCAAUCCUGUUCACUGCCCUGCUCUGGUUCCGGGGUUUUCUGGCAGAGGUAAGGUGGGCAUGGGGGGGCAGGCCAGCGGGUGGGGUCCCCACUCUCCAGGGCACAUCCAGAUCUCCCAACGCUCCUCGGGGCCCCACAGCUGGUCUGCAUUAGGCGAGGAGAGGCCACUCCCUUUCCACCAGGGCCAGCACGUGGCGCAGCGAGCGAGAACAGAUUGCUCCAGCCUGCCUGGAGAACAGAUGCGCCGUGGGCAUGCUUCCGGGAGAUGCCCCUUGGCCAUGUGUGGGGCUGUCAGACACGGCAACAGAGCCUUCUCUUGGAUCCUGGCCCUGCCCCACCACCCAAAGUGCUAGGAUUACAGGCGUCAGCCACUGUGCCCGGCCUCUUCCUUCUUUAAUCUGGUGUCUGAGGAGUUUUGUCUGCAGCUCGUCCUGCUACAGCAUCAGGAAGAGGAGGAAGCAUGCCCCUCCCUGGAAGGGAGUCCAGGCAGGGAGAGUGCAGCCCCGUCAACUGUCCAUGGACUGCAGCUCCACAUUCCGGGAGCCCAUCCAGCCUGGAGGCCUCAUGGGGUGAUGCCCCCGGGGAGCAGGAUGGCUACUGCCUUCUCCUCUACCACCUAGAAUCCCAGACAUUGGCACAUAAUAUCUCCAUGCCCCUGGGCACCCUGUCCUACAAUUUUGGCAACCUCUUGCCAGGUAUUGAGUAUAUUUUGGAAGUUAACACCUGGGCUGGCAACCUCCAAGCAACAACCAGCCUCCAUCAGUGGACAGCCCCUGUGUCUCCAGAUCACCUGGUACUGCAUACCCUGGGCACCAGUGCCUUGCAAGCCUCCUGGAAUGGCUCCAAGGGGGCUGCCUGGCUCCACUUGGUGCUCACAGACCUCCUAGGUGGCACCAAUCUGACUGCAGUAUUCAGACGGGGAGUCUCCCAUCACACCUCCCUUCACCUGUCUCAGGGCCCCCCUGUGAGCUGACGCUCAGUGCUGCUGCGAGGCCCCAUCGGGCAGUGGGGCCCAAUGCCACAGAGUGGACCUAUCCCUCUGCCCACCCUCGACCUGGUUUGACUCCCCUGCCCGCCAAGCUCUGGGCAAGCUGGAAGGUAGGGCCAGGUGUGCAGGAUGGCUUCCUGCUGAAGUUAAGUGGGCCAGUGGAGAAGAAUAUCACUCUAGGCCCUGAGGCCCACAAUGUCACAUUCCCAGGGCCCCUGCCCACUGGGCACUAUGCUCUGGAGCUGAAGGUCCUAGCGGGGCCAUAUGACGCCUGGGCCCAGGCCAGUGCCUGGCUGGACGAUUCCGCAGCCAAGUCCAGACAAGGCAGUGGUGCCAAGCGGCAGCUGGAUGGGCUCGAGGCCUCCAAGGAGCCCAGGAGACGGGCCCUGCUCUACACAGAGGGAAACCUGGGCCUCCUUGGAAACAUCUCUGUGCCACCUGGUGCCACCCACAUCACCUUCUAUGGGCCAGUGCCUGGGGCCCGCUACUGUGUGGACAUUGCCUCAUCUCUGGGAAUCAUCACUUAGAGCCUCAUGGGCCACAAAAGCCCGCUUGCCCCUCCUCUGGUAAAUGUGACGAGUGAAGAUCCCACCCAGCUCUGGGCAUCCUGGGUCCAUGCCCCCAGGGGCCGAGACAGCUACCCGGUGACCCUGUACCGGGCAGGCACCAGCGCCGUCGGAGCCAAGGUGGCCAGCACAAGCUUUUCGAGUCUGACUCCAGGCACGAAGUACGAGGUGGAGGUUGUCACGCAGGCUGGGCCCCACCACAUUGCAGCAGCCAACACCUCUGGCUGGACCCGUGAGGCAUGGGGAAGGCAGCGAUGCAGGAGAGCCCUGCACACACCCAGUGAGUUGGUGUCCAUGCAUGCGAGCACCGCUGUGGUCAACCUGGCCUGGGCCAGCAGCCCCUUGGGGCAGGGGAUGUGCUACACCCAACUCUCAGAGGCGGGGCACCUCUCCUGGGAGCACCCUCUGGUGCCAGGCCAAGCCCACCUCAUCCUGAGGGGCCUCACACCUGGAUGCAACCUCUCCCUGUCAGUGCUGUGCCAGGCAGGGCCGCUGCAGGCGUCCACUCAGCGCGUGGUACUGCUUGUUGGUAUGCUGACGUCAGCGGCGGAGAGGACGAAGGUGCCCUGAGAUGCAGGUCUGAUUCAGGUGGGCAGCACUGCCCGCUCGACUCUGAGCCACUGCUCUCUCCAGAUGGAUGCUGCACCCACUCUGCUCGGGGUUAUGCCCCUUACGCUUCUCCAGGCUUUUAGCAGCCUGUGCCCAUGGUUUUUAGUUUCUGUCUCUAGUAAUAAGCAGACAAGAGGGAUGAGGAAGGGGCUUUACUGGCCCAACCAGAAAUGGAAACUAAGAACCCAUGACUGCCUCUUCUCUCCCCUGGACACCCCUGCCGGGGAGCACUUGCUAUCUGAGUGUCUAUUGCUUGCGACCCAGAUUGCUGGGAGGGGCUUCACCUUAUUUGCCUGCCCUUCCCCAACAAAAGGUCCUGUUUCUCUGCCCAGGUUCAGCGUUGCAGCCUUUACCAGAGCCCCGGGCCGGUGUCUCCCCGGCAUCAGUGCCCCUGCCGGGAGUGGAGGGCCUCGUGGUGGGCUGUGUCCUCACCAUCUGUGCUGUGCUGGGCCUGCUGUGCUGGAGGCGGGUGAAGGGGCAGAGGGCAGGGAAGAAUCCAUUUUCCCAAGAGCUGACAGUUUAUAACCUGCGGUGGACCCACCGGCCCAUCCCUAUCCACAGCUUCAGGCAGAGCUAUGAGGCCAAGAGUGCUCACGCGCACCGGGCUUUCUUUUUGCAAUUCGAGGAGCUGAAGGAGGUGGGCAAGGAGCAGCCCAGACUGGAGGCUGAGUAUGCUGCCAACACCACCAAGAACCAUUACCCACACGUGCUACCCUCUUUCACUCUCUGCAGACGACCACUCCAGUGUCAGGCUGACCCAGCUGGAGGGAGAGCCUCAUUCUGACGACAUCAACGCCAACUUCAUCCCAGGCUACACCCACCCACCCACAGGAAUUCAUUGCCUCUCAGGCGCCUCUCAAGAAAACACUGGAGAACUUCUGGCGGCUGGUGCGGGAGUAGCAGGUUGUCCAGCAACAGCAGCGGAGGGUGGAGUAACUGCAAUUCACCACCUGACCCGACCACAGCAUCCUCAAGGCCCCCAGCUCCCUGCUUACCUUUAUGGAGCUGGUACAGGAACAGGCAAGGGCCACCCAGGGCAUGGGACCCAUCCUGGUGCCCUGCAGGAGGGCAGCUCCUCAGGGGCUGUCCCUGCAGUGUGGGCAUGGGCCAGACAGGCACCUUCGUGGCCCUGUUGAGGCUGCUGCAGCAGCUGGAGGAGGAGCAGAUGGUAGACGUGUUCCAUGCUGUGUAUGCAUUCUAGAUGCACGGGCCCCUCAUGAUCCAGACCCUGGCCCCCAUCGCUCCUCGCUGAGCAGCCUGAUGCCCUUCCCCCUGGCAGAGCCAGUACGUCUUCCUGCACAGCUGCCUACUGAACAAGAUUCUGGAAGGGCCCUUCAACAUCUCUGAGUCUUGGCCCAUCUCUGUGAUGAACUUCGCACAGGCGUGUGCCAAGAGGGCAGCCAAUGCCAACGCUGGCUUCUUGAAGGAGUACGAGCUCUUGCUGCAGGCCAUCAAGGACGAGACUGGCUCUUCCGCACCCCUGCCUGGCUAUGAGCAGGACAGCCCCUUCUCCUGUACCUCAUCCAACUCUAGGUCAGUUGCAGCAAGGGUGCGACCCAGCUGGGCACCUUCCUGGCCAUGGAGCAGCUGCUGCAGCAGGCAGGGUCUGAGUGCACCGUGGAAGUCUUUAACGUGGCCCUGCAGCAGUCUCAGGCCUGUGACCUUAUGACCCCAACGCUGAAGCAGUAUAUCUACCUCUACAAUUGUCUGAACAGCGCACUGGCAGACGGGCUGCCCCUGAGUCGGCACUGGUCACUGUGCAGGAGAGGUUUGUGCCCUGUAGGAUGGGGACAGCAUUCCUGA